RNAcentral lists this ribosomal RNA (253 nucleotides) under uncultured bacterium. RNAcentral's name for it is "partial 16S ribosomal RNA". It matches the Rfam family "Bacterial small subunit ribosomal RNA", at positions 524 to 776 of the family's 1533-position model. The record is from RNAcentral.
UACAGAGGUCUCAAGCGUUGUUCGGAUUCAUUGGGCGUAAAGGGUGCGUAGGCGGCGCGGUAAGUCGGGUGUGAAAUCUCGGAGCUUAACUCCGAAACUGCAUUCGAUACUGCCGUGCUUGAGGACUGGAGAGGAGAUUGGAAUUCACGGUGUAGCAGUGAAAUGCGUAGAUAUCGUGAGGAAGACCAGUGGCGAAGGCGGAUCUCUGGACAGUUCCUGACGCUGAGGCGCGAAGGCCAGGGGAGCAAACGGG